This 203-nucleotide small RNA is filed under the name Lupinus albus (white lupine). Lineage: Eukaryota; Viridiplantae; Streptophyta; Magnoliopsida; Fabales; Fabaceae. The record is from RNAcentral.
CGUCGAAUUCCGACGUACGGUCCUAAAGUUACGCCAAGAACGGAUAAUUACGACUUAAAGCAUUCGAUCGCGCGUACACAUGCAGGUGCCAUCAUACCAGCACUAAUGCACCGGAUCCCAUCAGAACUCCCCAGUUAAGCGUGCUUGGGCGAGAGUAGUACUAGGAUGGGUGACCUCCUGGGAAGUCAUCGUGUUGCACCUCU